UACAAACCAACCACUUCGAAUGAAAUCAAACGGGAAACCAAUUCAGGCUGCAAUCAAUCAAUCAUCAUAUAUUCAUCACUCCAUCUUCAUCUCUCCUCUCCCUCAUUUCUAGAGAGAGAGAGAGCAGAGCAGAGCUAGCAAGUUUCAUACGCACACAGAGGAAUUUUUGUUGACUGGAGUGUGUUUACUUUGAUUAUACACUGAGAGGAUCACGACGGAGAUGAAUUGCUGGGAGAAAAUGGCGAUUCCGAUGCGGAAAGUUUGGAUCGGAGUAUCCAGAAGGUUCGUGUUUCGCAAAACAGGGCUCAUCAAACUUGACAAAGAUGUGAGGACAUGUGAGUACGAGGAUAUCCAUAUCUUAUGGGACUUGCUGAAGAGGAACGAGGCAGACCUCGCCAGAAGCAGAAAGAGCCGUUCGUGGAGGUUCCAAUGGCCGCAAUGCUCCUCUUUGCUUCGCCACUGAUCUCAAUAAAUCCUGCUCCUGCUUUUGGAGUUUUGAACAAGCAUACAUAUGCAGUGUGUGUGAGCUCUGAAGAUCAUACCAGUUUGCUGUCUCUUACAGUAAUCAAUGUCCUCUUUUCUCUUGUGUCAUUGAAAUGUGAAGAUGUGAAAAAAUGUCCUAUGAUAUUUCUCCCCACACUCAACAGAGGUUUCUCUUUCUGUUUUUAUGCUGAAGGGAUGAUGGGGAUGGCUAUGUAUAAUGUUAUGGUGGCUCUCCAACUGUAUGUUUGUUGGAAUCAAAGAGCCCCUCCCAUUUCUUGAGAUGUUGUAACAAACUUUUCUGUUGUUUCCUUUUUUUAGUUUUCUUGCAUCAGCAAUCAUUUUA
Molecule: long non-coding RNA, 826 nt
Organism: Salvia splendens (bonfire salvia)
Lineage: Eukaryota; Viridiplantae; Streptophyta; Magnoliopsida; Lamiales; Lamiaceae
Exons: 3
Source: RefSeq, a predicted model, not a curated record